Molecule: ribosomal RNA, 465 nt
Filed under: uncultured bacterium
Lineage: Bacteria
Description: partial 16S ribosomal RNA
Rfam family: Bacterial small subunit ribosomal RNA
Source: RNAcentral
GAUGAACGCUGGCGGCGUGCUUAACACAUGCAAGUCGAACGGAAAGGCUCCUGCUUGCAGGGGUACUCGAGUGGCGAACGGGUGAGUAACACGUGGGUGAUCUGCCCUGCACUUCGGGAUAAGCCUUGGAAACUGGGUCUAAUACCGGAUAGGACGAUGGUUUGGAUGCCAUUGUGGAAAGUUUUUCGGUGUGGGAUGAGCUCGCGGCCUAUCAGCUUGUUGGUGGGGUAAUGGCCUACCAAGGCGUCGACGGGUAGCCGGCCUGAGAGGGUGUACGGCCACAUUGGGACUGAGAUACGGCCCAGUCUCCUACGGGAGGCAGCAGUGGGGAAUAUUGCACAAUGGGCGCAAGCCUGAUGCAGCGACGCCGCGUGGGGGAUGACGGCCUUCGGGUUGUAAACUCCUUUCGCUAGGGACGAAGCGCAAGUGACGGUACCUGGAGAAGAAGCACCGGCUAACUACGUG